Molecule: long non-coding RNA, 411 nt
Organism: Pseudomyrmex gracilis
Lineage: Eukaryota; Metazoa; Arthropoda; Insecta; Hymenoptera; Formicidae
Exons: 2
Source: RefSeq, a predicted model, not a curated record
AGAGCCAUCCAAGAUACUAACAUGCUAAGAAGUGUAAUAAGUGCUGAGAGAAAUUUGGUACGACGUUCAGCACAAGAUAGUCCAUCAGGAGGAGGAGGAGCUAAAGCAGGCUUUGGAUUUGGAUUUGGAAUUGAAGGAGGAGCAGGAAUGGGAGGAGGAUCUGGAAAAAAAUAAAUGCAAUCACAAAAUAUAUAUCGUCAAUCUGAUGUCGAUUAUGCUGCUAAAUAAUAGAUCGAAGAUAUCCAUAUCAAUUUCUUCUUCUAUGCGGAUAUUAUAUCGAUUCAACAUUAUUUUACAGUAUAUGUACAGCUGAUUGGAUUUCUCACUUACAAAUGGCACAUCUUAUGCACGAAUUAAAAGAGAAACCUCGAUGAUUAUAGAGCAAUAAACUUUAGCACUUCGCACAGCAAA